AAGGGAGAAUAACAAGGUUUCCGUAGGUGAACCGGAGGAUCAUUA
Molecule: ribosomal RNA, 45 nt
Filed under: uncultured Thelephoraceae
Lineage: Eukaryota; Fungi; Basidiomycota; Agaricomycetes; Thelephorales; Thelephoraceae
Description: partial 18S ribosomal RNA
Source: RNAcentral